This 1498-nucleotide long non-coding RNA is filed under the name Struthio camelus australis. RNAcentral describes it as "lncRNA (ENSSCUG00000012091.1)". The record is from RNAcentral. Lineage: Eukaryota; Metazoa; Chordata; Aves; Struthioniformes; Struthionidae.
GAACGGGGGGCAGGCGGAAGCCUCCCGCUCCGUGCCCCGUUGGUCACUACUGCCCACCAGGCACAAAGCAUCCGGUGCAGCACAAGUGUGCCCCAGGUACCUGGAGCAAUAGGACGAGCCUGGCCUCAAAAGAGGAGUGUUUGCCAUGUCCUUCAGGCUGGUUUUGUCUAGGAGGAGCUCGCGUGCCUUCUGGGAGGUGCAGCUCAGGGCAUUACUGCCCACAGGGUAGGCAACUUUUCUCAGAAUGGGGGAGAUUUAGUUCAUUUCUCUUUGGAAAUUUUGUGCACCCUGAUACAGUCAUGCUCUGACUUUGUCAGGAUAUGUUUUGCACUGAAGUAUUUCAGCAUGGAGGUGCAGAAUUCUUGCUGCAGGAUGAACUAGUAUGAAUAUUUAUUAGCAAUGAAGAACAGAGGGCAUUAUUCCCUUUCUCUUUUCUUUUUUUCUUUUCUUUUUUUUUUUUUUUUUUUUUUUUUUUUUCCCCUGGAAGGUACACGGAGGGGCACCCAGUACCCCUGCCCAGCAGGAACAUAUAGUACCAGGCUGGGAAAUGGCAGGGUGGAAGAAUGUGCUGCCUGCCCUGCAGGGACUUUCUGCACCAGUGGGACCUCCAAGCCAGUUCUGUGCCCAGUGUAAGUACACUGCACGUGCUGCAGUAGUUGUCGGUCUCGGACCCACACGAGCACAAAAGAAACCCUUCCUGUGUGGCGUUUCAGAAUCUUGCUCAUUGUAAGAAACAUCUUUCUGCACCGGAAGUGUUUGCCAACAAGGCUUCGUUCCUGGACGGUCCAGGCAAGUUUUCUCUAAACCGAGCGGUUUCCACUUGGCUCCAGAAGUGGUGCCUUUCCUCCACCUAAGAGUCUAACAAUGCAAGCCAGAUAAAUUGUCCUGUUCUUGGUCACUUUGCUGCCAUUAGUGACUCUCCUUGCUGUGUAUUUUCAUAUGCAGAGGAACUUUUCGUAUGGAACACGGUGCAAAGUCGGCCGCAGAGUGCAUCCCGUGUCCCGGAGGGUAUUACUGCCCUGAGCUUGGCACUGUUACUCCUCGGGCAUGUGGUGCUGGCAACUUCUCGGGCCAAGGUUCAACCUCCUGCUUGCCAUGCUUUGUGGGACAUUACUGUGCUAGUGAGCACACCAGCCGGGAGCUGAUGCUGCUUGCCAUGAUCUGCCCAGCGGGUCUCCUGUGCCCAGAAGGACAGGCAGUUGUUCCAGAUGCCAGUGCAAAUGCCUGCCCAAGAGGAUACUACUGUCCCCGGGGAGAUACCGGCUUGCAAGCUAAGCCUUGCCCCAAUGGGACCUAUGGUGAGCAAAGGGGUCUGAGCAGAGCUGAUGAAUGCUUACUGUGCCCUGCAGGGAAGUACUGCUAUAGAGCAGAGGUUGAGCCUUCAGGAAUUCCCCACCCUGUAAGUACAGCACAGCUUCUCCUAACUGUUUUUCCAGUGGCUGUAAUUGUGAAUGGAGCGUGCUCGAUGCAUGUCUUUCUCUCUUUCCUUUGCUUCCGC